GCUGGGAGCGGUGGGUGCCGGGAGGAAGGAGACAGGAGCCGGGAGAACAAAGCCUGGAGAGCAUCAGACACGGGUCUGUGCUGGGGGGGGGGAGAAGCCCGGCAUUAACACCUCCCUGCCUGGGCCGGGGGGGGGGGGACCCACCCCCUGCGCUCUGCCCGCAUCCACUCCGGAGCCAGGGCAUGACCCAUGUCUCACUUCUCCCUCCAUCCCAGCAGCUGAGACGGGAGGAUGAGUAAGAAUGAGGAGGAGACGUCUCAGCGGCGGAAAGCAGAGCCGGAAGAACCACACGGGAGAUUAGCAGGAAGAUAUAAAGGGAAGGUUUCCCAGAAUCAUGAGCAGGGGAAAGCCUACGAGAGGCAGUCAGGGAAGAAAGAAGACGGAAGCCCCGUGUUCCCAUUGAUUUAUUCCUGAUGCUGCCUGCAGAGAAACAGCUGGGUCUGUGCUGGGGAGAGACCUUCAUUAAAACUCCUUCUGAGCCCAGCCAAGGUGGGGAAGUUCUCCAGCUAGGACUAGCCCCAGACGCUGCUGACAGGAUCUCCUGAUCAGAGCGUCCAGGUGGUUGAGAGAGAGCUCAGGGAAAGCACUGGGGCCGGGCAGGAAAUUGACUGCACGGUGAGCGCUUCCUCCUCCCCCAUCUCUGCUCCUCGUGUCUCUGGGAGCCACAGAGCUGCUGCCCUCGUAACGAUUCAGGCCAAAAGGGAUGUUUCUGUCAAUGAGGCUGACCGGCUUCACCCGGGCCCUUAAAUGUCUCCCACUCACCUUGUAUUGAGUUGUGGAUAAAGCUUACCUUCCUGACUGGCGGAGCGGGUCCUGUGAGGGGAAGAGAAAACCCCCAAGAAUGGGGUGGUGGCCCAGUCUCCCAUCUCGAGGGCGGAGGAGAUAGGGGAGAGAGAGAGCGACUGAAGAGGGCGUCAGGAGAAAGAAGUGGUGGGAGAUUCCCGAAUCUCUAACCCACCCAGACACGCCCACUGUAGACGGGGUGAGGAGCAGAGAGAGGAAAAAACGCUUCCUGGCUCUGUCUAGUUCUGGCCCUGCUGGCGGGACAGCGUCGGGGGCUCCUUUGCGGCUGCUCUUUCUCUAGUGUUUGAUGCAGACGCCGUUCCUGGGAGGGUUUAAAAAGUCUCUGUGGGUUCGGCGCUUUUGGGAGGGGGCUGGGCCUGCUGGGUUACAAAGAGACGGAGCGUUUUCCCAGCGUGGCAGAGUUGACGAUGUCCGUCUGCGGGGAAAGGGCUUGGGGGAAUCAGGGGUGAAAUUAACUAUCGCCUCAAUUGCCCCGCUCACCUGGACAGGCUGUCACUCCAGAUUGUCCCAUCGUUCACGGGGACCGGGAAGGGAAAAGGCUGCAGAGGAGAUGAUUCAGGUAGCGACUUCCCAGUGGCUCCGACUGGAGGGAGAGGGGCAGUAGAUGCACAAGAGGUGGGCGCUGUUGAGGGAUUUGGUCUUCAGGCGGGAAGGGGCAGGAAAUACCCAGGGCGGAGAAAGGGAAGGGGACAGGGUGUGACUAACCUACUGGGACUUGUUCAGCCUGGAACUAGAUUCUAUGAACAGACCCAUGACGUUGAGGUGAAAAUUCCCCAAUUUUUGAAACUGGAAACAACCCGCCCCGGAUUGGGCUGGGUCAACUUCCCAGUGUGGGGGUGGGACUCUGACUGGGAGCCUCCCAGCGCUUUCAUUUGAUUGGCUCCUUUCCCGUGAAUAGUGGGGCUGUGAGUGGGGCAGCAGGUGCUGAGUGUGGGACUCUUGCUC
Non-coding RNA from Chrysemys picta bellii (western painted turtle), 1749 nucleotides. The record is from RefSeq and is a predicted model, not a curated record. Lineage: Eukaryota; Metazoa; Chordata; Testudines; Emydidae.